GCGGUUCAAUUGGANUCAAACGCNGGGAAACUCACCAGAAGAGACGGCAGGAUGAAGCUCAGACUAAAGUCUUAGCUAACGAGCCGAGAGGUGUUGCAUGGCCAGCGUCAGUUCGUGCCGUGAGGUGUCAGGUUAAGUCCUGCAACGAACGAGAUCUCCGUCGACAGUUGCUACCAUUAUGGAAACAAAGUGGGCACUCUGUCGAGACUGCUCGCGUCAAGUGAGAGGAAGGAGGAGGCGACGCUAGGUCUGUAUGGCCCGAAUCUUCUGGGCCACACGUGGCAUACAAUGGCACAGACAAUGAGUUCCGACGCCGAAAGGCGAAGGCAAUCCCCUAAACUGUGCCUAAGUUCGGAUCGGGGGCUGAAACUCGUCCCCGUGAAGCUGGAAUCCCUAGUAAUCGCGUGUCAUUAUCGCGCGGUGAAUAUGUCCCCGCUCCUUGCACACACCGCCCGUCA
RNAcentral lists this ribosomal RNA (458 nucleotides) under uncultured bacterium. Its description in RNAcentral is "bacterial SSU rRNA". It matches the Rfam family "Archaeal small subunit ribosomal RNA", at positions 897 to 1355 of the family's 1478-position model. The record is from RNAcentral.